RNAcentral lists this ribosomal RNA (465 nucleotides) under uncultured bacterium. Its description in RNAcentral is "partial 16S ribosomal RNA". It matches the Rfam family "Bacterial small subunit ribosomal RNA", at positions 28 to 507 of the family's 1533-position model. The record is from RNAcentral.
GACGAACGCUGGCGGCGUGCUUAACACAUGCAAGUCGAACGGAAAGGCCCCUUUGGGGGUACUCGAGUGGCGAACGGGUGAGUAACACGUGAGUAACCUGCCCUUGACUUCGGGAUAACUUCAGGAAACUGGGGCUAAUACCGGAUAGGAAUCCUUGCUGCAUGGUGGGGGUUGGAAAGCUUCGGCGGUUUUGGAUGGACUCGCGGCUUAUCAGCUUGUUGGUGGGGUAGUGGCUUACCAAGGCUUUGACGGGUAGCCGGCCUGAGAGGGCGACCGGCCACAUUGGGACUGAGAUACGGCCCAGACUCCUACGGGAGGCAGCAGUGGGGAAGAUUGCACAAUGGGCGGAAGCCUGAUGCAGCAACGCCGCGUGCGGGAUGACGGCCUUCGGGUUGUAAACCGCUUUUAGCAGGGGCGAAGCUUGUGGUGACGGUACCUGCAGAAGAAGCACCGGCUAACUACGUG